This 552-nucleotide ribosomal RNA is filed under the name Salmonella enterica subsp. enterica serovar Enteritidis. Its description in RNAcentral is "partial 23S ribosomal RNA". It matches the Rfam family "Bacterial large subunit ribosomal RNA", at positions 41 to 587 of the family's 2925-position model. The record is from RNAcentral. Lineage: Bacteria; Pseudomonadati; Pseudomonadota; Gammaproteobacteria; Enterobacterales; Enterobacteriaceae.
CAGAGGCGAUGAAGGGCGUGCUAAUCUGCGAUAAGCGCCGGUAAGGUGAUAUGAACCGUUAUAACCGGCGAUACCCGAAUGGGGAAACCCAGUGUGACUCGUCACACUAUCAUUAACUGAAUCCAUAGGUUAAUGAGGCGAACCGGGGGAACUGAAACAUCUAAGUACCCCGAGGAAAAGAAAUCAACCGAGAUUCCCCCAGUAGCGGCGAGCGAACGGGGAGGAGCCCAGAGCCUGAAUCAGCAUGUGUGUUAGUGGAAGCGUCUGGAAAGGCGCGCGAUACAGGGUGACAGCCCCGUACACAAAAGCGCAUGUGCUGUGAGCUCGAUGAGUAGGGCGGGACACGUGGUAUCCUGUCUGAAUAUGGGGGGACCAUCCUCCAAGGCUAAAUACUCCUGACUGACCGAUAGUGAACCAGUACCGUGAGGGAAAGGCGAAAAGAACCCCGGCGAGGGGAGUGAAAAAGAACCUGAAACCGUGUACGUACAAGCAGUGGGAGCCCCACCACCAAAGCAUUUGCUGUACCGCGUUGACGGAGCGAAGCGACGUCAA